AAACCUCCUGCAAAAGUGGAAGCGAAGCCGAAAAAGGCAGCAGCGAAGAAAGUUCUGUUUUUGUGAUCCUUUUAAAAAUAAAGCUUCACGGAAGGAUAAAUCUUCAGACAAAAAAGUGCAAACAAAAGGGAAAAGGGGAGCAAAGGGAAAACAGGCCGAAGUGGCUAACCAAGAAACUAAAGAAGACUUACCUGCGGAAAACGGGGAAACGAAGACUGAGGAGAGUCCAGCCUCUGAUGAAGCAGGAGAGAAAGAAGCCAAGUCUGAUUAAUAACCAUAUACCAUGUCUUAUCAGUGGUCCCUGUCUCCCUUCUUGUACAAUCCAGAGGAAUAUUUUUAUCAACUAUUUUGUAAAUGCAAGUUUUUUAGUAGCUCUAGAAACAUUUUUAAGAAGGAGGGAAUCCC
Molecule: long non-coding RNA, 405 nt
Filed under: Homo sapiens (human)
Lineage: Eukaryota; Metazoa; Chordata; Mammalia; Primates; Hominidae
Description: non-protein coding lnc-HMGN1-1:11
Source: RNAcentral